This 390-nucleotide ribosomal RNA is filed under the name uncultured archaeon. RNAcentral's name for it is "bacterial SSU rRNA". It matches the Rfam family "Bacterial small subunit ribosomal RNA", at positions 400 to 778 of the family's 1533-position model. The record is from RNAcentral.
UGUGAGUGAAGAACCGCUGCGGGUAGUAAAGCUCUUUCGCAAGGGAAGAAACGAUACAGUCUAAUAAACUGUGUUAAUGACGGUACCUUGAUAAGAAGCACCGGCUAACUACGUGCCAGCAGCCGCGGUAAUACGUAGGGUGCGAGCGUUAAUCGGAAUUACUGGGCGUAAAGCGUGCGCAGGCGGUUCUGAAAGUCAGAUGUGAAAUCCCCGGGCUCAACCUGGGAACUGCGUUUGAAACUCCAAAGCUAGAGUAUGGGAGAGGGGGGUAGAAUUCCACGUGUAGCAGUGAAAUGCGUAGAGAUGUGGAGGAAUACCAAUGGCGACGGCAGCCCCCUGAGCCCAAUACUUGACGCUCAUGCACGGAAAGCGUCGGGGAGCAAACAGGAU